AAACAGAAUAACCUUUGAGGUGCUUAGCAAUAAGAGAAUAGGGAAACCGGUGUGAGUCCGGUGCGAACCCAUCACUGUAAACAGGGACAAAGCCUGAAAAGCCACUGGAGCAAUCCGGGAAGGCGGGCCGCGGAGGAGCUGUAAGCCAGGAGACCUGCCUUAAAGAAGAAAUACGU
Eubacterium limosum KIST612 is the source of this 176-nucleotide regulatory RNA element. Lineage: Bacteria; Bacillati; Bacillota; Clostridia; Eubacteriales; Eubacteriaceae. The record is from Rfam.